RNAcentral lists this ribosomal RNA (503 nucleotides) under uncultured bacterium. Its description in RNAcentral is "bacterial SSU rRNA". It matches the Rfam family "Bacterial small subunit ribosomal RNA", at positions 501 to 1000 of the family's 1533-position model. The record is from RNAcentral.
CUACGUGCCAGCAGCCGCGGUAAUACGUAGGGCGCGAGCGUUGUCCGGAAUUAUUGGGCGUAAAGAGCUUGUAGGCGGUUUGUCGCGUCUGCUGUGAAAGGCCGGGGCUUAACCCCGUGUAUUGCAGUGGGUACGGGCAGACUAGAGUGCAGUAGGGGAGACUGGAAUUCCUGGUGUAGCGGUGGAAUGCGCAGAUAUCAGGAGGAACACCGAUGGCGAAGGCAGGUCUCUGGGCUGUAACUGACGCUGAGAAGCGAAAGCAUGGGGAGCGAACAGGAUUAGAUACCCUGGUAGUCCAUGCCGUAAACGUUGGGCACUAGGUGUGGGGGACAUUCCACGUUUUCCGCGCCGUAGCUAACGCAUUAAGUGCCCCGCCUGGGGAGUACGGCCGCAAGGCUAAAACUCAAAGGAAUUGACGGGGGCCCGCACAAGCAGCGGAGCAUGUGGUUUAAUUCGAUGCAACGCGAAGAACCUUACCUACUCUUGACAUCCAGAGAACAUUC